CAAGAGAGGUCAGCCGUUCCCCACCCUCUCCAUCUCUUCAGCCGCAACCUGCAUAAAAAAUGACAGUAAAGAGAGAGCUUAGGCAAAAAUAGCCGCUGCUCAUCUCCUUCUUCCUCAAGAAUCCAAAACCAAUAAAAAAAGCCCAAUCCCCCCAACAUUUUAAUCUCCUAAUACAUAAAAAGAGAAGCAGUCGCCCACCCAUUAUCGGAAAUCAUCUUGGAGGAUUAAGCCUAUCCAUAGAAGAACAGUAGCAACAACAAGAAGGAUGGUAAUUGUUGUCCAUUUCAGCGCGAUGAUCCAGAUUUGAACCACUGAAAUUAAACCCUCUUGUUUAUUGUCAAAUAAAAGAAGAUUUGACACUGAUCAUACCUGAAAAGAAAAGCUCUUUGUCGUCCCUAACUUCCAAAAAGUAAAAUACACCCUAAGUAUAUUUCUCUAACCCACACAGCCCCAAAAUUCAUUGGAACACUAACCCGAGACCCAUUUGUUGUAGCUGAUACUUCUCAGUCCAACGUCUCCAUCCAUAGCUUUGGUCGGGUUCAAGGUCGCAGUUCGAUCUAGCCGGUGAGAUCUCCGUUUAGCGGUUCCGGCUCUGGUCAGAGAUUCAUUCUUGUUCGAAUUUUGAAGGAAACAGUCAAGCAAUUAUAAAGAUGAAGAAUCUGCUGAUAUUGUUCAGGAGUAAAGACAGGAGUAGGACGUGGCAUUUGCUAGAAGAAAGUAGGUUGAUUUGCUGGUUGUGGAACACCUGAAUUAGAGCGACUUCCUCCUCUGCCUUGUUGAGUCACACUAGAAGCUACAUUCUUGCCCAUAAUAUAUCUAUCUAUAUAGUUCACCUCUGCACCAUACACUUGAUUUGCAUACUGUCAAGUAUUGAUUCCCUUCUUUUUGGAUUUGAAAUCCGGAGGAUAUCCAACUAGCUUAUAGCAUUUUUCCUUGUAUGUACCUUGUAGUAGCAAUAUUCACAUUGAACUUGCCUCCUCUUUAGUUGUAGUUUUUAGUAUUAUUUGUGUUCUUGCUGCUAUACACUUGUGUCAUAUUUGCAAGGUUUCUUUUGCUUU
Nicotiana tabacum (common tobacco) is the source of this 1058-nucleotide long non-coding RNA. RefSeq lists it as uncharacterized. Lineage: Eukaryota; Viridiplantae; Streptophyta; Magnoliopsida; Solanales; Solanaceae. The record is from RefSeq and is a predicted model, not a curated record.